Liolophura sinensis is the source of this 787-nucleotide long non-coding RNA. RefSeq lists it as uncharacterized. The transcript has 4 exons. NCBI's taxonomy places the organism in Eukaryota, Metazoa, Mollusca, Polyplacophora, Chitonida, Chitonidae. The record is from RefSeq and is a predicted model, not a curated record.
UCUUUUAUCAGAGAUAAGCUGUACACAUUCUGAUGAAGGCUUGGGGAGGGGGUGGGGGAGGGGAACUUGAUAACAAAAUAUAGUUUGUUUAAAGGUAAAAAUUGAAAAAGAGAUUCUUGCAAGGUGUCACAAAAAGGAAUUCCUUGACAGCUUAGGUGUUGUUCGAAGAGCUGAAGAGGCACCCACUUGUACAUAUCAAGUUACAUUCAGUGAUACAUUGUGAUCUUUCAUUCUGACUGAUUUCUGGGAAAAGAUGAAUCUACAAAGGCUAGCUCUUUGCUAGCUGGUCUUUAAUCAGCUAUAUUUAAUCUGGUUACGGAUUUCCAUCAUCAUCUACAGGGAUUACAAAGCCUACUGAGGAGGUUUAACUUUUCUGGUGGCAAGACUGAGAAAUGUGUUUUCUGAGUCUCAACACAUGUGCACAUUGGUACAUGUUUAAAGCAUGGACAUUGGCUGGAGGAGUGGCGGACCGAUUCUCAAGCCAUACGAAGUUCAAGAACUGGGACACAGCUCCUUCCUGGAAUUCAAAUUCAAGAUGUUUGUACCCAUCCAGGUCAAAACCAGCCUACGCCCUGUUUCUAAAAUGUCAGUCCAGAAAUAAUGCCACAUUCUCUAAUAAGCGGGGGAGGUAUUUUAACAUAGUUAGUAAGUAUUAAGCACGUGUUGCCUACGUCAUCCCACGGGCUUGCGACAGAAACAGUGUGUCUAAAACAAUGUAGACGGCAUGCGUAAUUUAGUAAUCAAUUACUUGAGAACAAAAAAACUUAAAUAAGAACUAAAUACAAAC